AUGAACGCUGGCGGCGUGCCUAAUACAUGCAAGUCGAGCGAACAGACGAGGAGCUUGCUCCUCUGACGUUAGCGGCGGACGGGUGAGUAACACGUGGAUAACCUACCUAUAAGACUGGGAUAACUUCGGGAAACCGGAGCUAAUACCGGAUAAUAUAUUGAACCGCAUGGUUCAAUAGUGAAAGACGGUUUUGCUGUCACUUAUAGAUGGAUCCGCGCCGCAUUAGCUAGUUGGUAAGGUAACGGCUUACCAAGGCAACGAUGCGUAGCCGACCUGAGAGGGUGAUCGGCCACACUGGAACUGAGACACGGUCCAGACUCCUACGGGAGGCAGCAGUAGGGAAUCUUCCGCAAUGGGCGAAAGCUUGACGGAGCAACGCCGCGUGAGUGAUGAAGGUCUUCGGAUCGUAAAACUCUGUUAUUAGGGAAGAACAAAUGUGUAAGUAACUAUGCACGUCUUAACGGUACCUAAUCAGAAAGCCACGGCUAACUACGUG
This 496-nucleotide ribosomal RNA is filed under the name uncultured bacterium. Its description in RNAcentral is "partial 16S ribosomal RNA". It matches the Rfam family "Bacterial small subunit ribosomal RNA", at positions 29 to 507 of the family's 1533-position model. The record is from RNAcentral.